RNAcentral lists this ribosomal RNA (482 nucleotides) under uncultured bacterium. Its description in RNAcentral is "bacterial SSU rRNA". It matches the Rfam family "Bacterial small subunit ribosomal RNA", at positions 30 to 506 of the family's 1533-position model. The record is from RNAcentral.
UUGAACGCUGGCGGCAUGCCUUACACAUGCAAGUCGAACGGCAGCACGGGAGCAAUCCUGGUGGCGAGUGGCGAACGGGUGAGUAAUAUAUCGGAACGUGCCCAGUCGUGGGGGAUAACGCAGCGAAAGCUGUGCUAAUACCGCAUACGAUCUCUGGAUGAAAGCGGGGGAUCGCAAGACCUCGCGCGAUUGGAGCGGCCGAUAUCAGAUUAGCUAGUUGGUGGGGUAAAAGCCCACCAAGGCGACGAUCUGUAGCUGGUCUGAGAGGACGACCAGCCACACUGGAACUGAGACACGGUCCAGACUCCUACGGGAGGCAGCAGUGGGGAAUUUUGGACAAUGGGGGAAACCCUGAUCCAGCCAUUCCGCGUGAGUGAAGAAGGCCUUCGGGUUGUAAAGCUCUUUCAGCAGGAACGAAACGGUCGGCUUUAAUAAAGUCGGCUAAUGACGGUACCUGCAGAAGAAGCACCGGCUAACUACGU